RNAcentral lists this ribosomal RNA (408 nucleotides) under uncultured bacterium. RNAcentral describes it as "partial 16S ribosomal RNA". It matches the Rfam family "Bacterial small subunit ribosomal RNA", at positions 28 to 526 of the family's 1533-position model. The record is from RNAcentral.
GACGAACGCUGGCGGCGUGCUUAACACAUGCAAGUCGAACGGAGUCGCGAACGGGCGUGUAACACGUUGGUGACCUGCCCUGCUCUUCGGGAUAAGCCUGGGAAACUCGGUCUAAUACCGGAUAGUGUGGGAUGGGCCCGCGGCCGAUGAGCAUUGUGGUGGGGUAAUGGCCUACCAAGGCGGCGACGGGUACACGGCCUGAGAGGGUGGACGGCCACAUUGGGACUGGGACACGGGCCAGAGUCCUACGGGAGGCAGGAGUGGGGAAUAUAGCACGAUGGGGUGAAGUCUGAUGCAGCGACGCCGCGUGGGGGAUGGCGGCCUUCGGGUUGUAAGCGCCUUUCACCGUCGACGCGGUAGAUGGAGAAGAAGCACCGGCUAACUACGUGCCAGCAGCCGCGGUAAUAC